CACGCCGUAAACGAUGUCGACUUGGAGGUUGUUCCCUUGAGGAGUGGCUUCCGGAGCUAACGCGUUAAGUCGACCGCCUGGGGAGUACGGCCGCAAGGUUAAAACUCAAAUGAAUUGACGGGGGCCCGCACAAGCGGUGGAGCAUGUGGUUUAAUUCGAUGCAACGCGAAGAACCUUACCUACUCUUGACAUCCAGAGAACUUAGCAGAGAUGCUUUGGUGCCUUCGGGAACUCUGAGACAGGUGCUGCAUGGCUGUCGUCAGCUCGUGUUGUGAAAUGUUGGGUUAAGUCCCGCAACGAGCGCAACCCUUAUCCUUUGUUGCCAGCGAUUCGGUCGGGAACUCAAAGGAGACUGCCGGUGAUAAACCGGAGGAAGGUGGGGAUGACGUCAAGUCAUCAUGGCCCUUACGAGUAGGGCUACACACGUGCUACAAUGGCGCAUACAAAGAGAAGCGACCUCGCGAGAGCAAGCGGACCUCAUAAAGUGCGUCGUAGUCCGGAUCGGAGUCUGCAACUCGACUCCGUGAAGUCGGAAUCGCUAGUAAUCGUGGAUCAGAAUGCCACGGUGAAUACGUUCCCGGGCCUUGUACACACCGCCCGUCACACCAUGGGAGUGGGUUGCAAAAGAAGUAGGUAGCUUAACCUUCGGGAGGGCGCUUACCACUUUGUGAUUCAUGACUGGGGUGAAGUCGUAACAAGGUA
Molecule: ribosomal RNA, 702 nt
Filed under: Pantoea sp.
Lineage: Bacteria; Pseudomonadati; Pseudomonadota; Gammaproteobacteria; Enterobacterales; Erwiniaceae
Description: bacterial SSU rRNA
Rfam family: Bacterial small subunit ribosomal RNA
Source: RNAcentral